RNAcentral lists this transfer RNA (546 nucleotides) under Bradyrhizobium sp. Aa1d. RNAcentral's name for it is "partial 16S-23S ribosomal RNA intergenic spacer". The stretch from base 75 to 147 matches the Rfam family "tRNA". The record is from RNAcentral. Lineage: Bacteria; Pseudomonadati; Pseudomonadota; Alphaproteobacteria; Hyphomicrobiales; Nitrobacteraceae.
AGCGUGAGGUCGGAAGUUCAAGUCUUCCCAGGCCCACCAUUUUGAUCGAGUGCGGAGCAUUCGUCUUCUGGUACGGGGCCAUAGCUCAGCUGGGAGAGCGCGUGCUUUGCAAGCAUGAGGUCGUCGGUUCGAUCCCGUCUGGCUCCACCAGAUGGAAUUGAAGCUCGAGAAUGCCUCGUCAAAUUCGUCCGCGAAACAUCACUUCGCACUCAUUGGUCCGGAUGGACGGUGACGUGCGUGUUUUCUGACAUCGUAAAGAGGAGAUCGAUCCGAGUUUGGAUCUGCGAAGCAAUUCGCGGGUACCAUUCCUAAUCUCCAGAUCGUUUUCGGCGCUCGUUCAUCGCAAGAUGAGCGAGUUGUAAAACGAUCUUUGUAGCGAAGCUUGACCGCCUCGCUAUCGGGCCGAUCUUACGAAGCAAGCUGGUCUUUCUAGUCAAUGUCCGGCUGUGCGAUCGCAUUCAUCGAGGAUGCGCGCCUGAGACUUCGGUCUUUGGGCAAUUACACAGACAACAUUCUGCCGAGUGUGUGGACAUUGAUAAUGAGAGC